This 1256-nucleotide long non-coding RNA is filed under the name Cucumis sativus (cucumber). RNAcentral's name for it is "long non-coding RNA (CSAT_LNC000257)". Lineage: Eukaryota; Viridiplantae; Streptophyta; Magnoliopsida; Cucurbitales; Cucurbitaceae. The record is from RNAcentral.
UUUCUUACAAGCAACGUGCAUGGGUUUUCCGCUCCUGCAAAACCUCUCACUUUCAUUAGUAAUAUUAUCCUACCAAAUAAUAACAGUACCCUAAACCGAUUUUUUGAGUGAAUAAAGAUGUGUUUUACAGUAAUCACUUUUAAGCAAUGCAGUAAAAAGUGGUUAAACAUAAAAAGGUGAUUAGUUAAAAUUAAUUUCACCAUUUGCUUCAGCACAUUCCAUUGCUAUAUCCAUGGCUGAUUUGAGAGAUCCAACAACUGCAAUUUUUUUGCCUUUCACUAACUGAGUGCAAGCUGAGACACCUUCUAUUUUGUUCUUAGAGAUGGAAGCAUAAUCCAUUGAGUGAAGCACUUUCCCACGAAACACUUCUGGGCCUUCAUUUGGUGGGAACUCUGGUAUGUAUGGCAUCCCACUGUAUUUCCCAAUGCACAAUAUCACAAACCCAGCUUGAUGAACCUGCCAUAUAGAAAAUAUAGUCGUCUUUGUAAUAAUAUUACUCUUGAUCUUCCAUAAAUAUUUCGAUACUAAUCUUACAGUAAAAUUCUAGCUGUGCAUGCAAAAUUUCUAAAACGAAAAAUAUGGACUCACACCGUUACACCUAUUCUAUAUUCCUAUUUUUCAUCCAAAAUUAUAAAUGAUUAUUUUUAAUUUCUAUAAUAGCUUUGAAAUGUUUAUGAAAGGUCAAAAUUUUUAUAUGCUGAUGGUUAAUAUAAAUAUGUAUAUAAAAUUAAGGAUAGUUUUGAAAAGUUUAUACAUAUGCUAAAUUUUUUUUAGAGAAUAAUGAUAUUUUUGUAAUAAAUGUAAAAGUUAGAGGUUAUUUUUUGUUUCUUAGCUGUAGAGAAAAUUAUUUUUAUGUACUUUUUCAUGAAUAUUAGCAACUGUAUAUGAAAGAUAUGAUUGAAAUUAUCUUACUCUCUCACUUUUCUUUUCUAGAAAAAUAAAUAUAUAAAUAUUCUUGGUGUGUGAUUGGAGUAAAGACAGAAAAGUAGUGGGUGCAAUCUAGCUCGAACCAGUAUAUAAUGGAGGAACAAAACAAUAUAAAUGUAUCACUAAACCUAAAAGUUAAGAGGGAAGAAGCAACAAAAACCUGAACCGUAUUAGUUUUAGUGUUUUGAACUUCAAGGAUCCAUCUAGGUUCCUUAGCAAAGGGGAGGCCAGUUCCUCCCCAGAGCUGAGACGAUGAGUAACUCUCCGAUUCAUCAACUCCAUCGGUAUCGUAAUCAAUACUGAGAACACGAGAAUUGAAGUUGAUGAAG